AUUGAACGCUGGCGGCAGGCCUAACACAUGCAAGUCGAGCGGAUGAAGGGAGCUUGCUCCUGGAUUCAGCGGCGGACGGGUGAGUAAUGCCUAGGAAUCUGCCUGGUAGUGGGGGAUAACGUCCGGAAACGGGCGCUAAUACCGCAUACGUCCUGAGGGAGAAAGUGGGGGAUCUUCGGACCUCACGCUAUCAGAUGAGCCUAGGUCGGAUUGGCUAGUUGGUGGGGUAAAGGCCUACCAAGGCGACGAUCCGUAACUGGUCUGAGAGGAUGAUCAGUCACACUGGAACUGAGAUACGGUCCAGACUCCUACGGGAGGCAGCAGUGGGGAAUAUUGGACAAUGGGCGAAAGCCUGAUCCAGCCAUGCCGCGUGUGUGAAGAAGGUCUUCGGAUUGUAAAGCACUUUAAGUUGGGAGGAAGGGCAGUAAGUUAAUACCUUGCUGUUUUGACGUUACCAACAGAAUAAGCACCGGCUAACUUCGUG
This 484-nucleotide ribosomal RNA is filed under the name uncultured bacterium. RNAcentral's name for it is "partial 16S ribosomal RNA". It matches the Rfam family "Bacterial small subunit ribosomal RNA", at positions 30 to 507 of the family's 1533-position model. The record is from RNAcentral.